Long non-coding RNA from Carica papaya (papaya), 734 nucleotides. RefSeq lists it as uncharacterized. Lineage: Eukaryota; Viridiplantae; Streptophyta; Magnoliopsida; Brassicales; Caricaceae. The record is from RefSeq and is a predicted model, not a curated record.
GGGCAAGUAGCACCGUGUGUGGUGAGCCUCGUCCUUCAUCAUGAUGUUUUCUUAUUCUGUUUCCAUGAAGUAGCAGCUCAUACGAGCUCUAUUUGCGGACCUGCAAGUUGAUGUUGCACUGGCUUUUCCCUCUGCAAUUAGGAGUUAUUUCCUAGACUUAGGAGCAUUCGUCAGUAAGAAAUGAUAAACGGUACAAAUCACAAGGAGACGAUGGGAGAAGUAAAAAAUACUUCUGCCCACGACUGUCGGGCGCUAAAGCACCGAGAAAGAAAGCAGGAACCUAGGCGCCCAUUAGUGUUGGGACAGAAUCCCCUAGCCCGCUGCAUAUGCAUAGCACGUCGUAUGAAGAUGCACGAGAUCUGUCAAGCACCAUAAAUGGAGAGAGCCCAGUCUAGCACCUUCCGUGCUACGCGAGACGAUGGUCGCAUGCACGCGCGGGGUCUGUUUGGGCACACCCGAAGUGCCGAGAUAGCACCCCUUGGCACGCUGCAGCAUCCAACACACCCCUGUGUGCCGCGCGAUUCUGCCAGGCAUUGUGAGCUCAGAGGGCUGUGCGAGUGCGUGAGGAAAAUUUCCCUUCCACGGGUUUUGCACUCCAGCAUUUUCCCCUAGACGAAACGGCCCCAAUGGAUUAAUUUAAUUAAUUUCAUUAACCAAAAAUGGAUAUUUGUGAAUAAUGGGCCUAGUGGGCCGAGUUAAAUGGAUUUUUAUGAACAAUGGGCCUUAAUUAAGAA